RNAcentral lists this long non-coding RNA (351 nucleotides) under Gallus gallus (chicken). RNAcentral's name for it is "long non-coding RNA NONGGAT003029". The record is from RNAcentral. Lineage: Eukaryota; Metazoa; Chordata; Aves; Galliformes; Phasianidae.
UGGGACCAAGGCUCCUGCAGGAUGAUGUGUGUCCAUCCGUCCAACCUCUCCGCAUCGCUUCUCCCCAGAAGCAGAGAUGCACUCACGGGGCCGGGACUGCGCUGUGCACAGCUGGGACAGCUGGGACAUGGUGAUACUGCCACGACGUGGGGACACGGCAACCCACUCCCCAGACAUGGAGCUGGGGACUGCCGGGGGGACAGCCCAGCAGGGUGUGGGGCAGGUGGGCUCAGAGACCUGCAGGGAGGAGAAGAGCCCAUGGUGAGCACCAGGCUGCAGCAUCUGGGAAACGUGUGUGGCCGCAGCGGCCCAACGGCUUCACCCGCCUUCCAAACCAGAUGAAGUUUUGCA